GCGGCUCAGCUGGUAGAGCAUGAGACUCUUGAUUUUAGGGUCGUGGGUUCAAGUCCCACGCUGGGCA
Molecule: non-coding RNA, 67 nt
Organism: Podarcis lilfordi (Lilford's wall lizard)
Lineage: Eukaryota; Metazoa; Chordata; Lepidosauria; Squamata; Lacertidae
Source: the annotation of a GenBank genome assembly